Prunus dulcis (almond) is the source of this 837-nucleotide RNA transcript. RefSeq lists it as uncharacterized. The record is from RefSeq and is a predicted model, not a curated record. The transcript is spliced from 4 exons. NCBI's taxonomy places the organism in Eukaryota, Viridiplantae, Streptophyta, Magnoliopsida, Rosales, Rosaceae.
AAAAAAGAACAAAAGAGAAAAAAACACGCAAAGCGUGGUAGCGUGAAAGGAGAGCGAUCUCUCCAAAGAGAACCUUGACAGACAGAGAGAGAGAGAGAGAGAGAGAGGGAAAGUUUCACAGAGACUUCUGGAGAGAUGAGUGAAAUUUGUGGCUGCAGAUCGUUGAGUUUGUUUGUAUUAUUGGCUUCAAUUUCUCUACAAUUCAUCCCAGGAUUUUCUGAUGAUUCAUCGAGUUCCAAAAAUGAGAAAAAAGCUGUGACGCAUUCUACUUCCAGUCACACUGGAUCUACGUUGGCCAUCAUAUUCCUUGGACUUGUAGUAGUUGCAUUGUUCUCCUUUUUCCUUUUCAAGCUAUGGCAAAAGAAGAAACGAGAAGAACAGUAUGCCCGUCUUUUGAAGUUGUUUGAAGAGGAUGAUGAACUUGAACUUGAACUUGGUCUUCGGGAUUGAAAAACUUGGAGUUAAUUAAAGUCAUGGCUUGAAUGGCUUUUGUAUUUGAAAAACUCACUCCCAUAACCAGGACUGCAGUUUGGUGUCCAGGGUUGAGUGCAACAAAUGCUGACAAGUGCUUCAAAGUUUUGGAGUACAUAAUUGUACUGACUGUUACCUUCUCUUCUUUCAUCUGGCUGAUUCAGUCUCUCCCUCUCAAUACUCAUAUGGCAAAGAUCAAUUUAAAUAAACUUAUAUUGCCUAUUGCCUUGCCUUUUAAAGUAAAUGAAAGGUGCCUUAGCAAAGCGAGCUGACUGAUUUAACUUUUUACAUUCAUUUUCUUCUUCUAUUUGGCUUGAAAACUCUUGGAAAUGAUAAGAUCAACAACACUUCAUUUUGGUGCUGAAA